AUUGAACGCUGGCGGCAUGCCUUACACAUGCAAGUCGAACGGCAGCACGGGUGCUUGCACCUGGUGGCGAGUGGCGAACGGGUGAGUAAUACAUCGGAACAUGUCCUGUAGUGGGGGAGAGCCCGGCGAAAGCCGGAUUAAUACCGCAUACGAUCUACGCACGAAAGCGGGGGACCGUCGUGCCUUGCGCUAUAGGGUUGGCCGAUGGCUGAUUAGCUAGUUGGUGGGGUAAAGGCCUACCAAGGCGACGAGCAGUAGCUGGUCUGAGAGGACGACCCGCCACCCUGGCACUGAGACACGGCCCAGACUCCUACGGGAGGCCGCAGUGCGGAAUUUUGGGCAAUGCGGCAAAGCCUGAUCCAGCACUGCCGCGUGUGUGAAGAUGCCCUUCUGGUUCUAAAGCACUUUUGUCCGGAGAGAUGUACUUGGCUCUAAUCCAGUCUGGUGAUGACGGUACCGGAAGAAUAAGCUCCGGCUAACUCCGUG
RNAcentral lists this ribosomal RNA (486 nucleotides) under uncultured bacterium. RNAcentral describes it as "partial 16S ribosomal RNA". It matches the Rfam family "Bacterial small subunit ribosomal RNA", at positions 30 to 507 of the family's 1533-position model. The record is from RNAcentral.